GUAAACAUUGAGCACAUAAUGUAUUUGUGUUUUGAGCAUGGUCAAAAGUUAUGAUUGGCUACCGGUGCUGCCACUAAUGAAGCAACGGCGGAUUUAACUUCCACCAAAGGGGAAGAACCAAUAAAAAACUCGGUGAUGUCAAACGGUGCAGGCAUCAGCGGUUGCCUGUAACAGCGGCUUUCGCUGUUCUCAUACGGACACAUUAUUGUUUUUUUUUUUUGUAUAUACAGGCCUGCACUUGUAAAUGUUUAUUCGCUGUUAACCGUAAUUAGAGAACAAGCGGGCGUUUAAGCUUCAUACACAGAGUCGUGUAGUCUGGCUAUCAAUACAUAAAAUGGAGGACUCGCCGAGUCCUCAAGAUACUCUCUCGCAAAUCUGGAUGCUAUACACGGCCAAGAACGAGCAAAAGUAUUUUGAAGACUAUGCUUACCAUUUUCUUGAUAUUUACAAAAAUGUGCUGAAAUCUGAAUUUCAUGAUUCAUCUAAUGCUGACAUUCAACAACUUAAUUAAAGAGACCGUCCAGAAGAGUUGUAGGAGAUUCCGAAGUCAUCUGGAGGCUGUGGUUGAAGCCAAUGGCGAUUUUAUUGAAUAAAUUUACUCUUUAGCAUUUCAAGAGAUUUUUAUGUAAUUUUGGUAAAUAUAUUUGUUAAAAUGA
Octopus bimaculoides (California two-spot octopus) is the source of this 656-nucleotide long non-coding RNA. NCBI's taxonomy places the organism in Eukaryota, Metazoa, Mollusca, Cephalopoda, Octopoda, Octopodidae. The record is from RefSeq and is a predicted model, not a curated record.